This 1389-nucleotide ribosomal RNA is filed under the name Triticum aestivum (bread wheat). Its description in RNAcentral is "partial small subunit ribosomal RNA". The record is from RNAcentral. Lineage: Eukaryota; Viridiplantae; Streptophyta; Magnoliopsida; Poales; Poaceae.
AUGGCUGAGGAAACCAAACCAAAGAAGCAAAAAGAUGAGGAACGCAUUAUAAACGGUCUCCCAGGAGAACUCAUUGAGCGGAUAUUUUUGAAGCUUCCAGUGAGCACUUUGUUGAGGUGCACUGGUGUCUGCAAGGAAUGGCACAAAAUCAUCCGAGAUCCCCAGUUUGUCACCUCUCACCUCCAGGAUGCGCCCCAAUGUGCUUUCCUAUUCUUCCCACAAGAGUCGAUCUCAGGAAAGCUCUAUCCUGCUGAUGCUAUCCUGAUUGAUGAGACCUGGUCACAGUCGGCAUGUGCAGUGCCAGUGGUUGGCCCUGGUGAUUCCCUUUGUGGUUCAUGCAACGGGCUUCUUUGCUUAUACACAAAGUCAUCAACACUCAAGAUAGCAAACCUUGCAACGGGUGAAUGUCUGCAUCUUGAUAAACCUGUAAAGAAUUUAAGGGGUGAUUACUUCUUGUAUAACUUUGGAUUUCACCCAGUGACAAAAGAAUACAAGAUUAUACACUUCCUUGGUGAUUCUGUCGAGGGCCACCCUCUCCAUAAUAAUAGCAGAUUCAGAGUCGUUCAAGUUUACACACUUGGUGAUGACAAAUGGAGAGAUAUUAAAACUCCAGAAGCCCUAAGUUUAAACUGUGUAAAAAACUCUGGAGCAGUUAAUAUUGGUGGAACAAUGUACUGGCUAACUGAAGACAUGGUAGCUACCUGGCAGCAUGCAGUUAUGACCUUUGAUCUCAGUGAAGAAAAUUUUGCACGGAUACAACUGCCAGCAACUGUGCUUGAAGACUCUGCAGGUGAUGGGCCUCGUCGGUACUGGGUUAGAGAGAUUGAUGGGAAGAUAUGUAUAGCAACGGCUCAAACCUGUUCCUUUCAGCCCAGAAGGCUUUGUUGGGAUAAGAUCAUAUUGCAACGUCGUGACCGUAACCUAUAUUCCUUUGAGUUGCUUGGGGACAACUCCAAUACUAAAUUGUGUAAGAUGGCAAAGCUGUUAGAUUUCAGGCCCCACAAGCCUGACAACAUGCAAUCCUACAUCUGUAUGAAGUCACUUAUACGCUUAGAUGUAUACAAGAAGGCUGGCAUUGUUCGUAGGCCAAAACAGCGGGGAGUGUGGGAAUUGAAGAAGUGGGAGGCGUGGGAGCACAAGCCCUCUGAGAAUGAAAGAAUAUGGACCGAUACUCAUCGAGACGAGCAUGAGGGAGCUGCACAUGCACAAUGCUAUCGCACAAUGAUCAAUGGUGUGCUGCCGCGUAUAUUGAAUGACACGAUUCAACUGGAAAUAGGCAUGAAAAUCAAUCAAAUAUUUCCGAACAUUCCAGAUCAGUGUACCCUUAUUGUUGUUUCAACACAUUUCUUGCAUGAGACUCCAGUAGCCAAGGCCCCUCCGGCAGCUUAA